Long non-coding RNA from Cataglyphis hispanica, 626 nucleotides. RefSeq lists it as uncharacterized. The record is from RefSeq and is a predicted model, not a curated record. Lineage: Eukaryota; Metazoa; Arthropoda; Insecta; Hymenoptera; Formicidae. The transcript has 4 exons.
AGGCGAUCGUAUCAUGUCGAGCGCGGAUUCGGUUACUUCUUGGAAUUGUCCCGUAAAUCUUGCCAGCGAGUCCGCCUGAGCUGGAGCUAGACGAGAGGAGACAGGAGCGAGCGAGAUGGAGCUAUUGGAGCGAGACAUUCUACGAAAAUCAGUUGGAGACAACGCAGUACAGCUGUAAAAAAGAGACAGUGAUCCAGCACAGUAGAGGAAAAAAUGUAAGAAUCCAGCACAGCAGCAAUUGUUGCAACAUGGAAAUUGCACAUUUGCAAAGGGCGUCUUUAGCUUUCCGAAUGGCGUUUCCGUUCCCUUAAGCAGCGAGCAUGCGAUAGACUGCAUACACAGAGCGCAAUCACGUGACGCCAAGUUACUGUUGGCAGUCGGAAUACAACGGUGCCAAAAAGUGAGCUCUCCAAGCUGACGGACGAGUGCAGUUUGGAAUAUGCAUGAGGCUGCAGCUCGGUGGCUGAUGACGUUUUCCGGGAUCCUGAUCUCCUUGCAAUCUCCAUGUGCGCUAUAAAGGGCUUUUAGCGAAAUCGCCAACAAAACCGACGACACACCGUAGUAAUAACCCGGUAUUACCCGGUACAACGGAUAUCAUCGCGAAAAAUGGCGAAAGAAUGUAUACG